Molecule: ribosomal RNA, 247 nt
Filed under: Glomus sp. Bm
Lineage: Eukaryota; Fungi; Glomeromycota; Glomeromycetes; Glomerales; Glomeraceae
Description: partial large subunit ribosomal RNA
Rfam family: Eukaryotic large subunit ribosomal RNA
Source: RNAcentral
GGCGAGAGACGAUAGCGAACAAUACCGUGAGGGAAAGAUGAAAAGAACUUUGAAAAGAGAGUUAAACAGUACGUGAAAUUGUUGAAAGGGAAACGAUUGAAGUCAGUCAUACUAACGGGAAAUCAACCUCUUGAGUNUGGUCUCGUGGGUUUCGAAUAGUUUUAAAANCCUUCGGAUUUNCGAGAUUGGGCCCUUCUGGUGUAUUUCUCGUACGGUUAGUCAACAUCGGUUUUGAAGUCAUAAAUGA